Molecule: ribosomal RNA, 460 nt
Filed under: uncultured bacterium
Lineage: Bacteria
Description: partial 16S ribosomal RNA
Rfam family: Bacterial small subunit ribosomal RNA
Source: RNAcentral
CCUACGGGUGGCAGCAGUGAGGAAUAUUGGUCAAUGGGCGCAAGCCUGAACCAGCCAAGUCGCGUGAGGGAAGACGGCCCUACGGGUUGUAAACCUCUUUUGCCGGGGAGCAAGCCUGAGCACGUGUGCCCAGGCGGAGAGUACCCGGAGAAAAAGCAUCGGCUAACUCCGUGCCAGCAGCCGCGGUAAUACGGAGGAUGCGAGCGUUAUCCGGAUUUAUUGGGUUUAACGGGUGCGUAGGCGGGCCUUCAGGCCGGCGGUAAAAUUGCGGGGCUCAACCCCGCCGAGCCGUCGGAACCGGGGGCCUUGAGUACCGGAGAAGUACGCGGAAUGCGUGGUGUAGCGGUGAAAUGCAUAGAUAUCACGCAGAACCCCGAUUGCGAAGGCAGCGUACCGGCCGGUCACUGACGCUGAGGCACGAAAGCGCGGGUAUCGAACAGGAUUAGAUACCCGAGUAGUC